This 393-nucleotide ribosomal RNA is filed under the name uncultured bacterium. Its description in RNAcentral is "partial 16S ribosomal RNA". It matches the Rfam family "Bacterial small subunit ribosomal RNA", at positions 523 to 918 of the family's 1533-position model. The record is from RNAcentral.
AUACGGAGGAUCCGAGCGUUAUCCGGAUUUAUUGGGUUUAAAGGGAGCGUAGGCGGGAGAUCAAGUCAGCUGUGAAAUGUAGAUGCUCAACAUCUGCACUGCAGUUGAAACUGGUUUUCUUGAGUGCGUAAGGGGCAGGCGGAAUUCGUCGUGUAGCGGUGAAAUGCUUAGAGAUGCGGGAGAACUCCGAUCGCGAAGGCAGCCUGCCGGGCCGCGAGUGACGCUGAAGCUCGAAGGUGCGGGUAUCGAACAGGAUUAGAUACCCUGGUAGUCCGCACAGUAAACGAUGGAUACUCGCUGUCGGCGAUAUACGGUCGGUGGCCAAGCGAAAGCGUUAAGUAUCCCACCUGGGGAGUACGCCGGCAACGGGGAAACUCAAAGGAAUUGACGGGG